Molecule: ribosomal RNA, 253 nt
Filed under: uncultured bacterium
Lineage: Bacteria
Description: partial 16S ribosomal RNA
Rfam family: Bacterial small subunit ribosomal RNA
Source: RNAcentral
UACGAAGGGGGCUAGCGUUGCUCGGAAUUACUGGGCGUAAAGGGCGCGUAGGCGGACAGUUUAGUCAGAGGUGAAAGCCCAGGGCUCAACCUUGGAAUUGCCUUUGAUACUGGCUGUCUUGAGUACGGGAGAGGUGAGUGGAACUCCGAGUGUAGAGGUGAAAUUCGUAGAUAUUCGGAAGAACACCAGUGGCGAAGGCGGCUCACUGGACCGGCAUUGACGCUGAGGUGCGAAAGCGUGGGGAGCAAACAGG